This 440-nucleotide ribosomal RNA is filed under the name uncultured bacterium. Its description in RNAcentral is "partial 16S ribosomal RNA". It matches the Rfam family "Bacterial small subunit ribosomal RNA", at positions 338 to 795 of the family's 1533-position model. The record is from RNAcentral.
CCUACGGGGGGCAGCAGUAGGGGAUAUUGCUCAAUGGGGGAAACCCUGAAGCAGCAACGCCGCGUGGAGGAUGAAGGUUUUCGGAUUGUAAACUCCUUUUGUUAGAGAAGAUAAUGACGGUAUCUAACGAAUAAGCACCGGCUAACUCCGUGCCAGCAGCCGCGGUAAUACGGAGGGUGCAAGCGUUACUCGGAAUCACUGGGCGUAAAGAGCGCGCAGGCGGGAUAGCAAGUCAGAUGUGAAAUCCUAUGGCUUAACCAUAGAACUGCAUUUGAAACUGUUAUUCUAGAGUAUGGGAGAGGUAGGUGGAAUUCUUGGUGUAGGGGUAAAAUGCGUAGAGAUCAAGAGGAAUACUCAUUGCGAAGGCGACCUGCUAGAACAUAACUGACGCUGAUGCGCGAAGGCGUGGGGAGCAAACAGGAUUAGAUACCCGGGUAGUC